RNAcentral lists this long non-coding RNA (1753 nucleotides) under Mus spicilegus (steppe mouse). RNAcentral's name for it is "lncRNA (ENSMSIG00000013589.1)". The record is from RNAcentral. Lineage: Eukaryota; Metazoa; Chordata; Mammalia; Rodentia; Muridae.
GCCCUUCAUGCCCUCUGCAUUAGCUCCUGCCCCUAGAUUCUUGCCCUGUUUUGAGUUCCUAUCCUGACUUCCUUCAAUGAUAAACAAGCAAUAUGAACAUGUAAGCCAAAUACGCCCUUUUCUCUCCAACUUGCUUUUUGAUCAUGUUGUUUUGUCACAGCAAUAGAAACCCUAAGACAAGCAGUAUUCUUUCAAAUACAUGAACCCAGACAUGUUGUGUAAGAAAUGAACAGAUGUGACGUCUGUAAGCCAACAUCUGGGCAUUGUGACUACAGGAUAAAGACAAGGAACAGGGGGUAAGGCAGCCUCUGGAGACAGUUGCGGGGGGGGGGGGGGGGUAUGAUCCCCUAGCUCUGAACGACAUCACAUCUGUCUUCCAUAGGCAAAGCUGAACUCUGAAGGCCUCCCGCUCUGGACUCUAUAACCCUGGACAACAUCAUUUCUUUCUGUCCAGAAAUUAUUUUCAGCCCUAGGAGCAGCCAUACUGAAUUCUGUUCAGAAAUAAAAAUGAGGGAAGAAAUGUAAGGCUUGAAAGCUCAUUGUUUAACUCUGCCAAGUUACUGAGAGGAGCGAGAGCUGACGGUGCCGUGUCCACGGUCUCACAGGCAAGUUGGCACUGGGCCAGGAGCAGACCUCUCAUCAUCUCAUGUUCAAGGAAGACUUCAAAACAGCUGAUUGCAUCAGUCUGGUGGGAAACGCUGGGACGGCUAUUGAGCAACGUGUACAUGCUCUAAGUCUAUGGAAUGACUAGAUCAGACCCACUGAGGUCUGUUGCUCUUGCAUGGCCUAGCCCUUCAUCUUGUGGCUUUCAGAGGAUGAAGAAACAUUCCUAAGCCUUGAAGGGCCUGCUGCUGAACCUUGGCAACAUCUCUCCGAAAGGAGGUGGGAGAUCUGCAUCCCAGCCACAGGCUGCUUGUCCCAGACUCCACUGCACACCUGCCCAGUCCAGCUCCAGAACGGGUACUCGCUCUCUCCUUCCUGUGGCCUCCCUUCCCUUGGGUUUCCCUUUGCAGCAGGGAGCAGAACAUGAUUCUAAGGUUGUCUUUGCGCUUAGACCCAUUUCCUUUGCUGAUGAGAUUCAAGAAUGGUGUUUUGUGCUGUGCCUGAGUGCCCGGUGAAUAGAUCCCUUGUGUUCUAGAAGAAUCGCAGUGCCUGGUUGCUCAUCACCAUUGCUGGCCCUGGCAGCUCUGAGGGGAAACCAGCUUGGAUUUCAGCCUCGGGGAUUAACAUCUCAGAGGCACAUAAAGCUGCCUGAAAGUCAAGAGGAGGCAGGGUAACGAUGCAUGGGGCUGUUGUGUGGUUAGUUUGUCUUUUGCCAUUCAUGGGGCACAGCAGCUGAGGCUGAUGAAGAUCAAACAGCCAAAAAGCAGAACCCACAGAGAGGAGUUUCCAUGGAGAGUGGAGGUCACUGUCCCUCUCAUAGUCAGCUCCACACAUGGGAUCAUAUUCACCAUGGGAUGAGGGAAGUUCAUCUCCUUCCCUCAGUGACUGGGGAACCUGGAAAUUAUAUUAGUAAAAGGAGAACCGUAUAGUUUGUUGGUAUUAAUGUUAAUGUAAUAUUAGCAUGCCUGGAAGCUUCACCCACACAAAGUCAAAGCCAGACAUGAAUCUUAGCACUUAAGAGGCUCAAGCAGGAGAAUCCUGAGUUCAAGGGCCUGCCUGGACGACAGAGCAAGGUCCCAUCCAGUCUAAGCUACAUAGUGACACUUGUCUUAAAAAUAAAUCAGUGAAUCAAGACCUUGACUCUCUCUGU